CGGCGGUCCCGCCCCCGGCCCGUCUCGUGGACGUCCCCCAGCAGCCGGCGGCAGUAGAGGUGUCGCUCUGCGCGCCCCCGCCCUUCCCGCCGGGGUCGGUGGAGCGGCUCUUUAUGGUUGCGGUUGUCGCUCCCGCCCGACGCCUUCCUCCCUCGCUCCCUGCUUUCUGCUGGCUGUGGGGCGCCGCUGCCCGGGGGCCAUGGCGGGGGCGCCCGGCGGGCGGUAGCUCGGCCGGCGGCAGGUGAGGAGCUCAGAUCCAACACCAACCCUGAUGAGCUUGCAACAUCUUGCCUAAUGGAAUUGCUCAAACUUUCACAGCUGUAGAAGAGAUUUGGAUUCUUCAUACUUGUCACUGGGAGACUACCCACUCGCUUUUUUGGGUCAGUCUAAAUGAACUGCACUUUAGGGUGCGUGUUUUGGGAAGCACAAAGAUGUGGUCAGCUUUCACUGGAUGCUAUUCAGAGCCUAGCAUGUGGCUCCCCAUUUGUUCCAAAUGUUGAAAAAUCUAAUGAUGCU
Molecule: long non-coding RNA, 516 nt
Filed under: Otus sunia (Oriental scops-owl)
Lineage: Eukaryota; Metazoa; Chordata; Aves; Strigiformes; Strigidae
Description: lncRNA (ENSOSUG00000005147.1)
Source: RNAcentral